Molecule: long non-coding RNA, 202 nt
Filed under: Elaeis guineensis (African oil palm)
Lineage: Eukaryota; Viridiplantae; Streptophyta; Magnoliopsida; Arecales; Arecaceae
Description: long non-coding RNA (EGUI_LNC040969)
Source: RNAcentral
UGUCUUUAAUAGAUAGCAUGCAAAGCAAAUUAUCCACUUACUUAGAGGGUCUUUAGAGAAUUUGAGAUAUAUGGAUGAAGGUGGGUACCUAUCAUUUGGAGAACGUGCAUCAUUUUUUCCUCUAAAGGCCAUGGAGGCAUGCUUAAGUUGUUAGGAGAUAACGACUUGUAUGUUCUAAGUUUGUUGGAGUCAUGUGGUAGAG